UACAUGCAGUCGAACGAACUCUUCGGAGUUAGUGGCGCACGGGUGAGUAACGCGUGGGAAUAUGCCCUUUGGUGCGGAACAACAGUUGGAAACGACUGCUAAUACCGCAUAAUAUCUACGGAUCAAAGAUUUAUCGCCAAAGGAUUAGCCCGCGUCUGAUUAGGUAGUUGGUAGGGUAAAGGCCUACCAAGCCGACGAUCAGUAGAUGGUUUGAGAGGAUGAUCAUCCACACUGGUACUGAGACACGGACCAGACUCCUACGGGAGGCAGCAGUGAGGAAUAUUAGACAAUGGGCGCAAGCCUGAUCUAGCCAUGCCGCGUGAGUGAAGAAGGCCUUCGGGUUGUAAAGCUCUUUCAGAUGUGAGGAUAAUGACAGUAGCAUCAGAAGAAGCCCCGGCUAAAUUCGUGCCAGCAGCCGCGGUAAUACGAAUGGGGCAAGCGUUGUUCGGAAUCACUGGGCGUAAAGCGUACGUAGGCGGCUUUUCAAGUCAGGAGUGAAAUCCCAGGGCUCAACCCUGGAACUGCUCUUGAAACUGGAUCGCUAGAGUCCCGGAGAGGUUGGCGGAAUUCCGAGUGUAGAGGUGAAAUUCGCAGAUAUUCGGAGGAACACCAGUGGCGAAGGCGGCCAACUGGACGGGAACUGACGCUCAGGUACGAAAGCGUGGGGAGCAAACAGGAUUAGAUACCCUGGUAGUCCACGCCGUAAACGAUGUGUGCUAGUUGUUGGGCAUCAUAGAUGUUCAGUGACACAGCUAACGCGUUAAGCACACCGCCUGGGGAGUACGGUCGCAAGAUUAAAACUCAAAGGAAUUGACGGGGACUCGCACAAGCGGUGGAGCAUGUUGUUUAAUUCGAAGCAACGCGAGAACCUUACCUACUCUUGACAUACUUGUCGCACUUACAGAGAUGGUUGUUUCAGUUCGGCUGGACAUGUACAGGUGCUGCAUGAUGUCGUCAGCUCGUGUCGUGAGAUGUGGUAGUCCCGCACCGAGCGCAUCCUUUCGUACUGCAGCAUUUCGAUGGACCUUAGAUACUGCAGUGACAACUGAGGAGCGGGACGACGUCAGUCAUCAUGCUACGGCAGCUACCACUGCUCAUGGUCGGUGCAAGGGGGUACCCAACGAAAGAGAGCUAUUCUC
This 1139-nucleotide ribosomal RNA is filed under the name uncultured Alphaproteobacteria bacterium. RNAcentral describes it as "bacterial SSU rRNA". It matches the Rfam family "Bacterial small subunit ribosomal RNA", at positions 52 to 1275 of the family's 1533-position model. The record is from RNAcentral. Lineage: Bacteria; Pseudomonadati; Pseudomonadota; Alphaproteobacteria.